UUUACCAAGUGUAUACGUUAAAGGGAUAAACAACACUUUGGUGUACUUAACCGAUAUUUAAUACUGAUUCUAAUUUUCGAAAGGUUUUUAACAAUUUUAUAAGCGCUAAAAAAAACUAUAUGAUGUACGUAAGGAAGAUGAAAUUCGUAAAUUAUAAAGUGAUAAAAUCAUAUUCUAUUUUUCACACACAAAUUCGAGAAAAUAUGGUUGAAGCUAUCAAGUUUGUUUAUGUUAUGAUCAUCUUUUUUUCACUCUUUCUUGUUGCAAUGAAUGUUGACGGCGGUAAGCCAUUUUUUAUCAUUUUCAAAUUUUCGUAGUUACUUCAUACAAAAUAUUUUAGCACAUUUUAAUAACAUCCUUUUAUUCUCAUUUUCAGCAGCGUUUAUUAUGUGUACUCAAGAUUCUGAUUGUCCAAAAGAUAUGUGCUCAUCACUUUCAAUGAAUCCGAAGUGUCAUNNN
RNAcentral lists this long non-coding RNA (459 nucleotides) under Trifolium pratense (red clover). RNAcentral's name for it is "long non-coding RNA (TPRA_LNC012165)". Lineage: Eukaryota; Viridiplantae; Streptophyta; Magnoliopsida; Fabales; Fabaceae. The record is from RNAcentral.